Molecule: non-coding RNA, 2933 nt
Organism: Megalopta genalis
Lineage: Eukaryota; Metazoa; Arthropoda; Insecta; Hymenoptera; Halictidae
Source: RefSeq, a predicted model, not a curated record
GCCGGGAGAGUUGGUAGACUCCGACGUUGUAAAAAUCCCCGGGCUGUUCCCUCGUAGACAGUUGAAUGGCCUCUGCGAGAGCAGCUCUCCUUGCACGGCCCUAAGGGAUGUUAGGCACCGUUUCCAACUGACCGAUUACGCUCCUCCGCUCGUUCCCGGUUAUUUCGCUUGACUUGCGGACCUCGGCGUCCCUAAAACAUGCCAUAAAUUAGACAAUAAGUCGGGAACCAGUCUGUUAAGCGGAUCUUCUCUCCGGCCAAUAUCGAUUAAACCUGAUUGACCAUGAGACUCAAUCCCAACCGGAGAACAUAGAUAUGUUCUAUAAUCUUUUCUCAUUGUAGAUACAGUACUAUCGUCUUUUGAUAGAUGCCAUUUAAAGCGUUCUAUGUUGUUCGUUGUGAAUGUAUCUUAAGGACAGCCGAGUUAGUCUGGAACGGGCAGCGGUGGGAACUCAUCCUUGACUCGAUCGUCCUCUACGGUCUCCAUCUACGAGUCUUAGCCCCUGGAGAAAUGUACCAGGAUCUAGGAGGUUGGAGAACCGUGAAAGUAGGAUAGCUAGAGGGAGAUCAGAAGUCCUCUUCUCUGGAUUUUUCUUCCAGUGAAUAGAACGGAAAGCUGUCCGACAGAGAGGGAAGAAAAAUGCAGAUAGAGAGGUAGAGCAGGGGACAAAGGAAGAAAAAAGACAGGAAGUUGAGCGAAGCGAGGAGAAAGGAACGGAACAGCCGUGAAGUGGAAGAAGAGGAUGGAAAGCGGCUAACCCGGACAGGGACGCGGGGGUAGAGACGUAAUCACAGGGGCGUUGAAUUAGGGAUGCAUCCGAAGGGAGUGGGGAAUCCGACGAUGAAGGGGAAGGGGGCAGUCGACGGUAGAGGACCGGGGUCACCGCCAUAUUAUAUUUAGCGAGACGCAGCCGUGUGAAUGAACUGCAUAUCCCAGGGACGAGAGCGCGCGUUCUAGCAGACUCUUAUUUCGCGGGAUAUUCGGAGAAAUUGAUUAUGCGAGAGCCUAGUAAGUCCUUGGAACGAUUCUAAAUUCGUUACGAUCUCCGAGCAUGGAUCCUAAACCAGCAAGGAGUCAACUCUGUCUGGUAAAGACCACUUCUCGGUGUUUAUUCGCGUUCGAGUCGGAACAGUCAUCGACAACAGCGAAUGAGAGAAGCUGGACCAAUCUCUGGAUCGCGUAGACGCAAGCAAGGCCGCUAGCCGUGUCUAUGUUGUCUUUUCUGUUAAACAGACAAUUGGCAACUAUCUGUGCAAGCUGUAACAGCGGCUGGACUUUUCUAUCCUAUUAAAUAGAUGAUCGCAAACAUGGAAACAGGGACAAUGGGAAUACAAAAUGGCGCUCGAUAGAUUUGAAAUCCUUCAACUUAGAGCAAGUCGAAGGGCUUAUAGUAUUGAAAGGGGCAGAUGCGUUAAUGGGCAUUGUUUCCGCAUCAAAUGUGCUAAAAUGUUUAGGUUCAGAGUUCCCGGGAGGCUGAUUCACCACAGUGUAAUUCAGAUUGACAGUUAUAACUUAUAACUGACGGAACGGUCGUAACGUCCGGUGGGUGCAAGCUGCGACACAUGUUCCGAUAAAUGUCCAUUGUUCCCAGCGUCACCCUAUAAACAAUGCACGCUGCCUGCUCUGGAGCGAACUGCAAGGACCUAGCAGUGCUAAUUUGAAACGGUCCUCUCUGGAACUAGAGUUCUAUUAUCACUCGAGAGCCAUUAAAUCGACAGAGACAAUGCUAUCGGUAGGACAGAUCAUUUAAGAUUUUGAAACUAAAGCUUCAGCUGUGGCUUCAGUUGGAAACGAUUCUACUUGGAAUAGUUCUAUAAUAAUACAAUUACUAUUUCCGAUUCGGUGGAGGGUUCAGGCUGAAGAAGACAAGGUCGACGACUGAUAGAUAAUGGACUCAAUUGGAUCGAAAGUGGCUGAACAGGUGGAAGUGCAACCUGGCACUGCAGACGACUGACGCCACUGUGGCGUCAUUCGGUGCAGGAAUCGUCACCGAUGGAGAUCAUCCCUGGGAACAAUAUUCAGGGGCCUCAGGAAAUUCAGGAACGAAUUUCCGGCGAUCGUGAGAUCUCGGCCGACUGCACGCGCUCUAAUACCCUAAUCUAUCGACGGAGAUAAGCCGGAGAAGCGGUUUAUCCUGAGAGAGAAACAAAGGAAAACCUCGGGGAGAGUAGAUUGCGGUGAGGAGAGACAUUGCCACGGCACAUUUGAAUAUCCUGGCGAGCUCGCAUCGCCCGUAGAACUGGUCAAUCCUGUCCUGCGGGGACGAGAACCACGAACCAAAAAGGACUAGCCUGGAAGCGUGUACUCGUGUCCUGAGAAGCUAUUGGGCUAGCUGUGUGUAUCGGCCGAUGUCGAUGCCGAUCUGUACAUUCUAGAAAACCUAUAAAUCGGAUCGAGUUCAUGCUUCACAGGAACCUGAAGGAAUGCGAGAGCAGGUUGUUUUAGGGAUCAGGCUGUCUUGGAAAUUCUUGUCAUCGUUUACCGAUGUUUACCGGCGACGUAACGCGGGUUUGUCACGCCAUUAGGAACUUGAAGAUCUCCAUCUGGCUGUUGCAAUGCAGACCCAAUUCAUAAUACCAUGGUACUCGUUAUUCUCAACGUUAUCGAGAAGAGACAGGAUUAAGAGACAAGAUUAAAGAAUUGAUCAUAAUGACCUUAUACUCGAUUGUUUUCUGCAGUUUUAUUUAAAAUGCACAACGCUCCACCGUUUGCGGAAGCAGUGUUCUUUCAUCGACGGCCAACAGCCAUUGUUCUCCAAACCGACGCCAUUUUUAUUAGCGUGGAAUAUACCGCGCCUGGGCCACCUUGAGCGAUUAUUAAAAAUAGUGAUCAGCGAAAAUAAGAGCUUUCUAAAUUAUUAAAGAAUGCGAAGGUAAAGGAACCAACUUGGAAGCACAGCGAAAGGUCAGAGUUGCGAGGCGAAGAAUAGUAUG